Molecule: ribosomal RNA, 232 nt
Filed under: uncultured bacterium
Lineage: Bacteria
Description: partial 16S ribosomal RNA
Rfam family: Bacterial small subunit ribosomal RNA
Source: RNAcentral
CGGACGGGUGAGUAAUGCUUGGGAAUCUGGCUUAUGGAGGGGGAUAACUACGGGAAACUGUAGCUAAUACCGCGUAAAAUCUUUGGAUUAAAGGGUGGGACUUUCGGGCCACCUGCCAUAAGAUGAGCUCAAGUGGGAUUAGGUAGUUGGUUAGGUAAAGGCUGACCAAGCCGACGAUCUCUAGCUGGUCUGAGAGGAUGACCAGCCACACUGGAACUGAGACACGGUCCAG